RNAcentral lists this non-coding RNA (45 nucleotides) under Schistosoma mansoni. Lineage: Eukaryota; Metazoa; Platyhelminthes; Trematoda; Strigeidida; Schistosomatidae. The record is from RNAcentral. RNAcentral also lists the same sequence under 1 other name.
AUCCAGCUGACGAGUCCCAAAUAGGACGAAACGUGCGCCCUGGAU